Molecule: ribosomal RNA, 271 nt
Filed under: uncultured bacterium
Lineage: Bacteria
Description: partial 16S ribosomal RNA
Rfam family: Bacterial small subunit ribosomal RNA
Source: RNAcentral
UACGGAGGGUGCAAGCGUUAAUCGGAAUUACUGGGCGUAAAGGGUGCGUAGGUGGUUUGAUAAGUUGUCUGUGAAAUUCCUGGGCUCAACCUGGGCAUGUCAGAUGAUACUGUUAGACUAGAGUACUGGAGAGGGUGGUGGAAUUCCUCGUGUAGCGGUGAAAUGCGUAGAGAUGAGGAGGAACACCAGUGGCGAAGGCGGCCACCUGGACAGUAACUGACGCUGAGGCGCGAAAGUGUGGGUAGCAAACAGGAUUAGAAACCCGGGUAGU